AAUUCCAGAUUUAAGAUGGCCUGUGGUUGAAGGAAGCACGUCAGCGUAUGUUUGCAGUAAUAAAAAUCUUCCCACUAUCUAACUUAAAUCUGCUUUGUCCCCUCAAGUUUAUUUCUCAGCCUACUUUAAUUGGACUUUGACCCCAUCCAUCCAAAGAAAUCUCCCUCCUCAAGAUUAUCCACAGCCUCCUUGAUGUUCUUCAUCUGGCCAGCCCUGAAAACAGACUGUAGUACCUUGAGACAGAAGAAAAGGUUCUGAAAUUAACAACAUGAAGAAAGGGAGAAACUACCCUCCUUCUAUUCCCUGAAGGC
Molecule: long non-coding RNA, 311 nt
Organism: Lontra canadensis (Northern American river otter)
Lineage: Eukaryota; Metazoa; Chordata; Mammalia; Carnivora; Mustelidae
Exons: 3
Source: RefSeq, a predicted model, not a curated record